Molecule: ribosomal RNA, 468 nt
Filed under: uncultured bacterium
Lineage: Bacteria
Description: partial 16S ribosomal RNA
Rfam family: Bacterial small subunit ribosomal RNA
Source: RNAcentral
GACGAACGCUGGCGGCGUGCUUAACACAUGCAAGUCGAACGGAAAGGCCCUGCUUUUGUGGGGUGCUCGAGUGGCGAACGGGUGAGUAACACGUGAGUAACCUGCCCUUGACUUUGGGAUAACUUCAGGAAACUGGGUCUAAUACCGGAUAGGAGCUCCUGCUGCAUGGUGUGGGUUGGAAAGUUUCGGCGGUUGGGGAUGGACUCGCGGCUUAUCCGCUUGUUGGUUGGGUAGUGGCUUACCAAGGCUUUGACGGGUAGCCGGCCUGAGAGGGUGACCGGCCACAUUGGGACUGAGAUACGGCCCAGACUCCUACGGGAGGCAGAAGUGGGGAAUAUUGCACAAUGGGCGGAAGCCUGAUGCAGCAACGCCGCGUGCGGGAUGACGGCCUUCGGGUUGUAAACCGCUUUCGCCUGUGACGAAGCGUGAGUGACGGUAAUGGGUAAAGAAGCACCGGCUAACUACGUG